ACAUGGAUGUGUGAGUCAAGUAAAGGACUUAGGGAUCGAGUACACAUUCUUGUGCACUGAUUAAGUCCACCACUAAAGAUCGAUAAGAAGAAUCAAAUAAGGCAGAAGGAUAAAAGUUUCUCAAAUCUGAAAAGAUGGGAGAGUACUUUAGUAUCAGUUUUGUGAUCAUCUUAAUGAUUAAGAAACCAUAUCAAAAUUAGUUCUCUAAGGAAAUCUUAGUGCAUUCUUAUGACUAAGAAGAGGAACUUGAAUUGUUGAAAUGGUUAAAUCAAGAAGAUGAGUCAUACUUCGUUCCAAUACAAGUCUUAGAGUCAUACUCCAAGAUUGUCAUUUGAGUGACAUGUCUUAAAGAAGGUUUAAAACACUUGUCAAAUGUAAGAGUAAAAGUUUUCUACUCUUGUACAUUUGAAAUUGGUAAGUUGUGAUGUUUUGGAUAAAACAAAGACCAACUUAGGCCAAUUGGGUAAAGUGUUUUUCUUGAUUAGAAUCCGCACUAUCUCUUGGAUGUUUGACAAGGGAGUCUUAUAUGUCAAGAGGACAGUGGGAGUCUUAAAGGUCUUGAAAGUCUCAAGAAAUAAUCAAGAAUAAAACCUAAAGUUCUUCACUAGCACACGACUUGAGGUUCAUAACCUAUCGUGUUGACAUAUUCUGUGCCCAUUCCAGUUAAAGUUGGUUUUGCAUAUGAGUUCUUAGAGUUCUCAAUUUGUUGCACAACAACUUGGAAGCAAUGGCAGGCCCUUGAGCUGCCAGGUGGCAAGAAGUUAAGAUUGAGUUCAAUCCAUAUGGUUUUGGAUUUGUCAUUAUCUUUGUCUUGUGAUUAUGGUUUGACAAAUUCAUAUGGGUAGGAACUCAUACACCAUAUAAAUCUAAGUGUCAUAAGGUUUCUCUCCGAUUCAUGAAAAUGAUGGUGAGGAAACGCUUUCACUAAGUAGAUUUUACGAAGAUAUCAAUUGUGUUAUUUGCAUUUUCAAAAGUCGUUAGUGGAGCGCGUGUGGUUAACCGGCACACUAACAUGGACUUGUGAGAAAUGGCAAAUGCCUAAGCAAUUGAGACCAUGAUUACGGUAUCCCUUUUCAUGGUUCUUGAAAUUGCUUAGACACACAGGUGAGCUAUCUACGGAAAGGGUGUAUGAAUCUAAAUUUCAGACUGUCCAGCUGAUUUCUGAGUACAUGUCAAAGCUAGUGGGAGCAUAAGUGUUAUGCUAAUAAUCAUCAUGUUAGUGGGAGCAUGAUAAUUAUGAUAAGUAUUGCAAGUUAGCAAUGUUAAUUAUAGAAAACAAAAGUUUCAAUUGGGAAAAAGUUGUUUUGCUAUAAUUAAGGGAGAGGAAAUUAUGCUUCAUCUCAAAUCUAUAAGCUUAGAUCGUGAGGUUUUAAUCAUUUAGUCAAGGAUAUAUAUGAAUUUCAUGUUGGAAUGGCUCAACAUAAGGAAAUUCUGUAUAUGGGUCCAUUAUUUGCGUUCUAAAAUUCGAUUAUGAUUACGGCAUCCCUUUUCAUAAUCUGAAUUAUGAGAACUUGGCAAAUUGAAAUGGAAAUAUUAUAGCAAAAGACUGGUUUAGUCUUUAUGUAAGACAUCAUGAAUCGUGUCCCAUAUGCUUCGGAUAUAGGAUCGAUUACAUGUGCUAUAUUCAUCCGUUCUAAAAUUUUCCAAAUGCCUGGGGCAUUAAGAAGGGAAAAGGUUUAGAACUGGAUAUGACUAAAAGGAUUAAACAAUUGUCGAGGACAAUCUAAGGUUUACCAAAGAUUGGUUACUCAAGGACAAUUGGAAGUAUAGUGAUAAUUCUGGAAGGACCAUAUUGACAUAAUCUGUAAGGAGGCAACUCUUGUUCAGAAGUGAUAGUCAAAAUGGAAUCUGGAAAUGUUUCAAAGUUAGAAUUUUCAAUCUGUGUAAGAUUAAGGAAACUUAAUGCAAGAAGGAUAUUUCCAAGGAGUUGAUCUCCUUUGGAAUACUCUGUAAUGAUUGUUGCCAAGUCUUUGUGACUUUGUGCAUAAUCAUUACAAGAGGAUCAAUGCAUAUAAGUUUAGAAUCUAACAGAUUUCAGUAAAUGGCAUGAAUUUGGAAUUCUUGCAUUUGCAGUAAGGAUUUGGGAGUGUGAAAAGAGAAUCAUUGAAGUUAUGUUCAAUUGAUCUAGUUCACAAAGUAAAGAUCAUAGACAAACAUAGUAUGCAUACUUGGUGUGUGGCAUGACUAGUGUUUAAGAAAACAUAGUGUACAUGCUUGGAGCAUGGGACAACUAUUGUUUUAAAUUCAAGAAUAAAGUUGAUAGCUGAAACAGUAUACAAUGAAUAAUGUGUAAUCAUAUGGUGAUAAAUAAAAGGUGUUUUAUUUAUGUUCAAAGGGUUGAUACCAUAUUGGAUUCAAUUAUUAUUGUGUUUCAUUUUGCAUGUUUUGACUUCCCGAAUAAACUGGGUUAUUCUUCCGGAAUGACUAAGUUAUUCAAACCAUCCACAGUCGGUCAUAUGUUGGAAGUAGAUAUGAAUUAAGACUGUCAUGGGUUGGCUUGUAGAGGUCUAAGGUGUUGGACAAAGGGCUACAACACUCAUGAGUGCUCAUAAGUUCUGAGUAUUGGAUUCAACCCGCGCUCAUUGGAAUCACUUCAUGGAUUUUAUCACGAGUGAUCAUGAGACGAUAAUAUCUUAUAUUCUUCAAACCUAGAGAUAUGAGUUGUUACUAUGAGUUGAUAGUACAUUGAUUGCACGAAAACGCAUUUGGUAACUCGGUGCUAUAAAACGUGCCUUUGUGUAUGAUUCAACAAGUAGUAGAACAAGCCAUAUGAGUCGAAGUUUAUCCAUUCCUUUUACCUUCGGGAUAAAAGCGAUAUCUGUGGGCCCCUCGAUGAUUUGAUGAUGACAAAUGGAAGUGCUCGGCCGGGCCAGGACUGAUUUGAUUUGUUCAAUUAGUCAGUCGUCAUAAAUCGGAAAUCGGGAAACAACAAAUGGACAGAGAGAAUGAUUAUAAUCCAUGUCUCAGUCCAUAUGAUAUCUAGAAUGGAGGAAUAUAUGAUCCCUUAUCUAAUGGACAAGUCAUUGACAAAGGUCAGAGUUCAUCUACAAGGUCAGAGUUCGACAGAAGCUUUUGAGAGCUACGAUUGCCAGUUGGUUCCUGAAGUCAUACGCAAUAAUAGUUUUAGACUUAUCCAAGUGGGAGACUGUUGGAUUAAUGUCUAAGUCCAUAACUAUAAUUGGUAAGACUUGACCCGACCCGGCAUGGUCCAUUUGGGUUGCAUACCAUCAUGCACUUGGAUAGACUAUAAUGAGAGAAAUAAGACACUUAUGGUUAUUAAUAUAUUAUAAGUUCUAGUAUAUUAAUAAUAAGAAUAAUAAGAUUAUUUAAUUAGUAUUGAUCAAGAAUUAAUCUAGGAUUAAUUAAGUGAUCAAAAGAAGACUAAUUAAAUAUAUGGGUUGAUUGUGUAAAUCAUCCAUACUUGUAUAGUGGGCUAAUGCUCCAUGGAUAAUCAAGUUGGGCUAAAACCCAUAGGAUGGUCCAUGGAUGCUCCAUGGUGUAUUUGUACCCAUGGAUCCAAGGAAAUGGAAAGCCAUGACAAUUAAGAGUUUACCCUAAUUGUGUAACUAUAUAAGCAUCUUAUUAUUGAGGAAAAAUCGGCCACUAGUGAUAGUGAAGAAAGGGCUAGCCGAUUUUGAAGAGUGUAGAAUUCUCUCAAGUCAUUCCAAGUGUUUUGAUGAUUGUGAUUCCAUUUGAGGUGUCACACUUGGGGCACUAGGCACUCAAGCUUCAUGAAGACUUUCUACAUCAAAGAGGUAUGUAUUCUAUCUUGUUAUAGUCAUUGUUUUGUAUGCUAGAUUAGGAUAAUACCUUGGAAGUUCUUAUUUGCAUGUAUAAUAGAGAAAACAUAGAUCCAAGGUAUUUAGGGUUGCAUGUACACUUAGGAGUGUUAGAAUGCUCAAAACCCAACAGUGGUAUCAGAGCCUAGGCUUGUUUUCUUGUUAUACCUGCAAUAGAAGCUGAAAAAACGAAUCUGGUGCUGUCUGGCCAUCAGACUCGGCGAGUCCAUCAGGAGACUCGACGAGUCCAUGCCUAAAAAGUGAUGAAUUCGAUCCAACUCGCCGAGUUUGUUCAUGCACUCGACGAGUUGGACCCCCAGACAGCAUAUUUUCGAGUUUUUUGGCUAGAAAUGGACUAGGAACAUUACCCUAAGUUGUUUUUGAACUUAUAAACUUGUUUUUGAUGUGGUAAUGUUCAUGCUAAUCCAUUUUCAAAGAUAAUUGUCAAUAGAUUCAUGUUUUGUAUUAGUUUAAGGUUUAGACUAAUUACAUGAAAAAGUUUGAUUUGAAUUAUCUUGUUCUUAUGAGUUGCUUAGAUUAAUAGAAAUGUUGAGUGAAAUAGUUGUUUUCAAUCCAUUUUAAUCUAAGAGUUGAGUAUAAAAUGUGUUUGUGUAACUUGUCCUCAAGUUACAUGAAGAGUCACAUUAAAGACUCAUAAAACUCAUAAAAGUUGGCAAUGGUUACAAAAUGAAGAGUCUUGUGUCAUUGAAUAAUUUUUUUUGACUCCAUAACUUGUCCUCAAGUUAUGGAAGUUCAAGAGUCACUUCAUUAAAGAAAAAUAUGUAACCAUAAUUAAAUCCAUAAGUUAUAAAAUAAAGAAAAAGUUAGUUCUUUUAUUAGUUUAAAGUCUUCCAUAACUUGUCCUCAAGUUAUGGAACUUGAAGAGUUUUUGGAUUAAAACUACUUUAAACACAUAAGUUAUGGAAUUAAUUAGUUUUGAAUAGUUUCAAAACUUGCCCUCAAGUUUUGGAAUUUGAAAAGUUUUCAAGUAUGAAUACUUUAAUUCCAAGUUAGCCCUUAGAAUUUUAAAAGUUAAAAUUCAACCCUUAUACUUUAUAAUAUUAUAAGUUAAUAAUAUAUAUAUGUAUAAGAGUAAAGUCAGUCUUACCGCUAGUACGCCUCAUUCACGAAGCCGGUCUAUAAGGUGGGUAUAAGGUUGUUGCCUAUAAAAUGGCAACUUAAUGGGUGUCCACUCUCACCCACCGCUUGCUUGACUGGUGGAGGGUCGUUAGCCGAACGGGUUUGACAGGACUAGAAUUCUCCCUUCAUUAAAAGUAUUAAUGAUAAUACUAAGUAACUAAACUCUUAAUAAUACCCAAUCUUAGUUACUUAGGAAAAAUGUGAAUAAGGUGCUAAUCCAUGAAAUUACACUUUACACUUUGUCUAAGUCGUUAGUGGAGCGUGUGUGGUUAACCGGCACACUAACUUGGACUUAACAAGGUAGGUAAAGGGUGACUUAAUAUUUAUCAUAGUAUCGAUGGAGCGUGUGUGGUUAACCGGCACAUCGAUUGAGGGGUAAUUUAUUAAGGGUACCAAGUGAUUUGCAUGGUUACUUCACACCUUGUUUUGUGAUCCUCGGCAUCCCAGUCACAAAACCUGAAGGGCACACUCGAGAUUGAAACAUGCCUUUGAAAAGUUCAAUGAAUCUCAAAGAUCUAGGAGUUUCAAAACCAAUUAAAACCUAAUAAUACAUUUCGUUUAUCUUGGUGGAAAUUGGUGAAUCGUCAUUCACCUACCUUCAAAUAUUUUAUAGCUUGGAUUACGGCAUACCUCUUCUAAGUUAUAAAAUAGUUUGUUGGGUCCUAGCCUUAAUAUUUCAUAUUGGGUGUCAUAUUAAGGACUUUAAAUCAACUAUCUUGAAUAUCUCCCAAAAGAUGUCUGGUUUAGACACCUAUGAUCUUCCCAAAUCUCUUGAAACAAGGUUUCCUAAUGAAGAUGAUGUCCCAUGGAUAUCAUACUUCUUCACCUCUUCAAAUUAUUCUCCCUAACCCACAAGUUCUUGAAAAGUUUAAGGUCACUCAGGCCCUAUUAGCAAGGCAAGGUCUAGGUGUGGUCACAUCUUGGAGAUGUAGUCACAUAUUGACAAGCCGGGAGAGUUGGGUGUCAAAGUCUUGAGAAAGUUGGUGGUUCAACCACUUUCUAAGUCACAUAGUGAGUUCCUUUGGGACACCUAUGAAACAGACUAUGACAAGACCCUUAAUGAUCUUAUCUAUUUGCUAAGAUCAACUUCCUAAAACUUUAUGGACAUUGACAAUGAUGACAUUGGAUAUCCAGUAAAGCAUUCUCUUCCCAAUGGAAAGGGAUCGGCCAUAGUCAACUCGGUUGACCAAAUGGUAAAGAGAAAAGCUAAGUCUGUGAUAGUCCCGUGUACCAUUAUCAAAGGGUCCAUAUGUUUAUAUUGCCAAAGGAAGGGGCAUUGGUUGCGAAGCUGCCAAAUUUACCUAAGGAUGUUAAAGUCAAUAAGUUUGACUCUACUUCAGGUAAAGUCCACUAUCUAACUCUGUUAAGUUUCUAUUCUGAGAUUCUUGAUACAUGAUGUGACUGGGUCACAUGGUGAUGUUUUAAGAAUCAAAGAAAAGUGAAGAAACUUAAAGAAAGAAUAUGCUGAAUCUGAUGGCGUAGAUGGAUUUCUAUCGCAUAGUUUGAAGAUCGGAUUCUUGAGCUACUUCUUAGGAGUUAUGAGAUAUUGCUUAGGAAUAGAUAACAACAAGUUUUCAUAUGGAUUGUAAGGAUAAGUUUUUCCGCAAAGUUUUAAAAUAAAAGAAAAUUUUUUUGAUUUUAUUUAUUUUAAAAUAUCCUUACAAUGGCUUUUGAGGAAAAAUUGUUGCUUAUAUGAUUCCAUUAAGAGCAAGAGUGGAAAUAUGAAAUUGAUUCUUUCAUUUGUGGUAAUGUCUAGAUUUACCAAAUAAGGAAAGAUUCUCAUCACCCAAGUUUCAAUUGGACCGGAACUUGGAAUCAUGCAAGUUGUAUAGCAUGAUGAAUGAGAACUUUCAAGUAUUGGAAAAUUAAGACUAAUUACUUGUUCACAUGGAUGUGUGAGUCAAGUGAAGGACUAAGGGAUCGAGUACACAUUCUUGUGCACUGAUUAAGUCCACCACAAAAGAUCGAUAAGAUUAUUCGUCAUAGUUUACUAAAGCUCAGUAAAUAUGAUUAUACUUACAAGCUUAAGUGUAACUCUAUGACAUUGGAAAAGGUUCCAAUGUAUGGCAGAGAGAAUAAGUAGAAUCAAAUUAGGCAGAAGGAUAAAAGUUUCUCAAAUCUGGGAAGAUGGGAGAGUACUUUAGUAUCAGUUUUUGUGAUCAUCUUAAUGAUUAAGAAACCAUAGCACAAUUAGUUCUCUAAGGAAAUCUUAGUGCAUUCUUAUGACUAAGAAGAGGAACUUGAAUUGUUGAAGUGGUUAAAUCAAGAAGAUGAGUCAUACUUCGUUCCAAUACAAGUCUUAGAGUCAUACUCCAAGAUUGUAACUUGAGUGACAUGUCUUAAAGAAGGUUUAAAACACUUGUCAAAUGUAAGAGUAAAAGUUUUCUACUCUUGUACAUUUGAAAUUGGUAAGUUGUGAUGUUUUGGAUAAAACAAAGACCAACUUAGGCCAAUUGUGUGAAGUGUUUGUCUUGAUUAGAAUCCACACUAUCUCUUGGAUAUUUGACAAGGGAGUCUUAUAGGUCAAGAGGACAGUGGGAGUCUUAAAGGUCUUGAAAGUCUCAAGAACUAAUCAAGAAUAAAACCUAAAGUUCUUCUCUAGCACACAAUUUGAGGUUUAUAAUCUAUUGUGUUGACAUAUUCUGUGCCCAUUCCAGUUAAAGUUGGUUUUGCAUAUGAGUUCUUAGAGUUCUCAAUUUGUUGCACAACAACUUGGAAGCAAUGGCAGGCCCUUGAGCUGCCAGGUGGCAAGAAGUUAAGAUUGAGUUCAAUCCAUAUGAGUUUGGAUUUGUCAUUAUCCUUGUCUUGUGACUAUGGUUUUGACAAUUCACAUGGAUAAGAACACAUACACCAGUAAAUCUAAGUGUCAUAAGGUUUCUCUCCGAUUCAUGAAAAUGAUGGUGAGGAAACACUUUCACUAAGUAGAUUUUAGCUAGAUAGCAAUUGUGAUAUUUGCAUUCUCAAAGUCGUUAGUGGAGCGUGUGUGGUUUACCGGCACACUAACCUGGACUUGUGAGAAGUGGCAAAAAGGUCUAACCAUUAUGAUUACGGCAUACCUCUUCAUAAUUGUUUAGACACACAAGUGUGCUAUCUAAGGGAAGGUGUAUGAUUUUGAUAAAGUUUUAUCAAAACAAUCUAGUAUCAGAAAUCUGAACUUUGGUAAGAAAGUCAAUGAAGUAUUGAUUUCUAGAAGUCCAGCUGAUUUCUGAGUACAUGUCAAAGCUAGUGGGAGCAUAAGUGUUAUGCUAAUAAUCAUCAUGUUAGUGGGAGCAUGAUAAUUAUGAUAAGUAUUGCAAGUUAGCAAUGUUAAUUAUAGAAAACAAAAGUUUCAAUUGGGAAAAAGUUGUUUUGCUAUAAUUAAGGGAGAGGAAAUUAUGCUUCAUCUCAAAUCUAUAAGCUUAGAUCGUGAGGUUUUAAUCAUUUAGUCAAGGAUAUAUAUGAAUUUCAUGUUGGAAUGGCUCAACAUAAGGAAAUUUUGUAUAUGGGUCCAUUAUUUGCGUUCUAAAAUUCGAUUAUGAUUACGGCAUCCCUUUUCAUAAUCUGAAUUAUGAGAACUUGGCAAAUUGAAAUGGAAAUAUUAUAGCAAAAGACUGGUUUAGUCUUUAUGUAAGACAUCAUGAAUCGUGUCCCAUAUGCUUCGGAUAUAGGAUCGAUUACAUGUGCUAUAUUCAUCCGUUCUAAAAUUUUCCAAAUGCCUGGGGCAUUAAGAAGGGAAAAGGUUUAGAACUGGAUUUGACUAAAAGGAUUAAACAAUUGUCGAGGACAAUCUAAGGUUUACCAAAGAUUGGUUGCUCAAGGACAAUUGGAAGUAUAGUGAUAAUUCUGGAAGGACCAUAUUGACAUAGUCUGUAAGGAGCCAACUCUUGUUCAGAUGGGAUAAGUCAAAAUGGAAUCUGGAAAUGUUUCAAAGUUAGAAUUUUCAAUCUGUGUAAGAUUAAGGAAACUUAAUGCAAGAAGGAUGUUUCCAAGGAGUUGAUCUCCUUUGGAAUGCUCUGUAGUGAUUGUUGUCAAGUCUUUUUGAAUUUGUGCAUAAUCAUUAUAAGAAGAUCAAUGAAUAUAAGUUUAGA
RNAcentral lists this long non-coding RNA (8986 nucleotides) under Lactuca sativa (garden lettuce). Its description in RNAcentral is "long non-coding RNA (LSAT_LNC002599)". Lineage: Eukaryota; Viridiplantae; Streptophyta; Magnoliopsida; Asterales; Asteraceae. The record is from RNAcentral.